Pipistrellus kuhlii (Kuhl's pipistrelle) is the source of this 2481-nucleotide long non-coding RNA. RefSeq lists it as uncharacterized. The record is from RefSeq and is a predicted model, not a curated record. The transcript has 2 exons. NCBI's taxonomy places the organism in Eukaryota, Metazoa, Chordata, Mammalia, Chiroptera, Vespertilionidae.
GCCUCCUGUACUUGCCCUGACUGCAACCUUUUUGGUGUAUGGGACAAUGCUCCAACCAACUUAGUCACCCAGCCAGGGCUUUACAGGAUUUCUGUAACUUUUCUGUAACUGGGACCACAUCUGUAACUGGAUUCUGCUCUUUGGACUUUGUACUAAGAACUGGAAUUAUGUCACUUACUUCAAAAGCAGUUAUUGGGGGCUUGAAAAUACAUUCUAUGAAGAGCCUACUUUUAUGAUUUAUACGAUAUUUUUUAAUUUUCAGAGCCCUUUUUACAUUGUCAUCUGAUUCGUUUGAAAUAGGUUAGAUUAUUCCCAUUUCAAUGGUGAAAGUAUAAUAUAAUCCAAUUAAAGUGUUCAGCCUAUUGUUGAAACUGGAAAGCAAGUUUCUUUGCUAUACUUAAAACCUUAUCUCCACCUUCAAAUUAUAUUCCAAGUACUUGCUUGUACUUAAAAUACAACCAUUGUAGUAUUGGCUACCACUUUUCUCUUACCAGGACUCUGCAAGAGCCUUCUGAAUGAUGUCCCUGUAUCCUUUUUGUUUCACACAAUUAUUUUCUCGUGCAGAAUGGUCCAGUUAAAAUGCUCCUCAGCUCACAUCACCCUCAUACUUGGAACACUCCAGUGACUGUUGCUUACCAAGGCCUAUAAAAUACCCUGUGUAACUUGGUAUCUGGGUGUUUUUCAGCCUUUUCAACCACUUUUCCCCUUGUUUGUGCUCCUCUGUCCAUACUCGCCCCACAGGAAGAAAUCUAUUCUUGUUUAGAGGUUCUGUACAUUAUGUUGUUGUUUCUGUAUGUCCUCCUGGUAUUCAGUAAUGUAAUGUGUCUGCUUAAAUGUCACCCUCUCACAGAGGCCUUCUCUACCCUUCCUGGUCUUCUCUGAAACAGGCAUCCCCAUCAUUGUCUGUCCUUUUCACUGCUUUGUUCUUUCCUUGUGCUUAACAUAACCUGAUGUUAUUUAUUCAUAGUCAUUCUGUAAUAACAUGGCAUAAUGUGUUCCUGAAAGUAACCAUACUAGGCAGAAUUAUAGCAAGGGGUUUAUGGGCAAAAUAUUAAAAAAUGUGAUGCAUUUAAAAAGCAUACUAAUCUAACAAAAAUCAUACCAUAUUAAAUGUUUAAAGAGUACAUGAACAAUAUAAUACAUAUGACAUUUACCUUGACCACGAUCUGAAAUAGGUUUGUGGAAGUGGACAUCUUGAAAGGGUUGCAGCUUGUAAGUUAUUGUGAUGUGAUGGAAGGAGGGUUAUCUGAAAUAAAUCUCUGAAAGUUGUAACACCAAUUGUGGAUGGAUAUGACAACUCAUACAAGUGAAUUGAAGUGGUUGGCAGAUGUUUUAGAGGUGUGUGUGUGAGUGUUGCUUUGUAAAUUCCUGUGAAGCUUGGUUCAUCUGAGUGCAACUAUUGUUUCUCAAAGUAAAAUCGCUCAUAAGUAAGUGGGAAAUAAUGUGUUGUGCUCAAAUUUCCUGGUACAUCAGUAGCACUCAAGCAAAUUUGUGUUUUCAUAACAAGUAUUAUAACAGAACUGCUGUAAUAGUUAAUGUUUGCUUGUCUUUUGUGGAAUAUAAACCACAAGAACGGAGUGCAUUUGUUUUAUGGGUGGACAAAAUAAUAUUGGGAUUAUCAUGAUUUCAAUUAUUGCACUUUUCUUGAAUGGUGAUUCUCAAAUUUGAAUGCGUAUACUAUCCCCUGGGAUCUUGCUAAAGUGCAUAUUCUAGUUCAGCAGUUCUGGGGUGGGGCCCCAGGAUCUGCCUCUUUAUUUUUUUAAGAGAGAGUGGGAAGGAUUGGUGGGGGGAGGGGUGGGAGAGAAACAUUGAUGUGAAAGAGACACACCAAUUGGUUGCCUCCUGCACACACCUCUACUGGGGCCAGAAAUUGAACUCCCUACCCUUUGGUGCUCAGGCCAAUGCUCUAGUCCACCGCUGAGAACACUGGCCAGGGUGGGUUUGCCUCUUUUUAACAAGAUCCCAGAUGGUUCCCACUUCACUGGCUGCUUGUGAAUAACAAGGUCCUAGAGUCAGCACUCCAAUGGAAGUAUAAUGUAGGCCACAAAUGCAAGUCACACAUGAUUUUUAGUAGCCAUAUUGAAGUAAAAGUGAAAUUAAAUUGAGUAUAUUUUAUAUGACCCAAUAUAUCGAAAAUAUUUCAACAUGUGCUUGAUAUUUAAAAAAUGAUUCUCUAUAAUCUUGUGCAAGGUCUGAAAGGUCUUUGAAAUCCAGUAUUGUAAUUUGUUACUAGCCACAUCCCAUGUGCCUACUUGCUACAUGUGUGACCAGUGGCUUCUGAAUUGGACAGCACAGUUCUGGAGAAUAUAAUCACCCUGUUCUGUCUAGCUUUACACAUAUUGCUAUUUCUCUAAAGAAAACUUUUAUGUGCCUUAUUUUUGAAACAUUUAUUCAAAGCAAGGUUGGAAUUAAUAGAUUCUUGAUCUACAGGCAUACUUUGGACAUUUUGCUGGUAGAGGGCCUUGUCUUUGAUUUGUGUUU